AUCGGGUCAAUAACGGAGAUGACGCAUCCAUCCGGUGACCUUAUCCCUUCGCCGGUGAGAAAAUAAAAAAAAUCUCAGAUCUCUCUUACCCUCAAAACACCUUUGAAAUCCUCAGAUCUGAAAAAAAAAACAAAAUCCAUGGAGGAAGAAGACUCGCCGAAAUCUCCUGGAGAUUCCUCCUCACCAGCACCUCCCUCUCCUCCUCCUCCGAUUUUACCUACCAACGACGACGUCACGGCGACGAAACCGCCUCAAUCUCCGUCGCGAAACGCGUUAGCGGUCCCCACUCCUUCCGUUGGAGGAGGCAGCAGAAACGGACGAAGCGGAGGAGGAGGAGGAGGAGGAGGAAGAGACGAUUGCUGGAGCGAGGAAGCGACCAAGGUUCUAAUCGAAGCGUGGGGGGAGAGAUUCUCGGAGCCAGGGAAAGGGACGCUGAAGCAGCAGCAGUGGAAGGAAGUAGCGGAGGUUGUGAACGAGAGCCGUCAAUGCAAGUACCUCAAGACCGAUGUUCAGUGUAAGAACAGGAUCGAUACGGUUAAGAAGAAGUACAAGCUUGAGAAGGCCAAGAUCGCUUCUGGUCAUGAUGGGCCUAGCAAUUGGGUUUUCUUCAAAAAGCUCGAGGCUUUGAUAGGCGGCGGCAACGCUAAGGCUCCGGCUCCGAUGGGACGACGCCAGGGGAAAGGAACUGGUUUGAAGAGAAGCUCUGGUGGUGAUUCGAUGAGGUGGCAUUUUAGGAAACGAAGUGCGUCCGAGACUGAGUCUGAGUCUGAUCCUGAGCCUGAUGACUCCGCUGAGAGUCUCCCACCGCUGGUGGUGUCGAAGCGGUUGAAGAUGGAUGAGGAGAGUGGGGUCGGAGAUGUGGCCAAGGCGAUUCUUGGAUUCACUGAGGCGUACGAGAAGGCGGAGACUGCUAAGCUGAAGCUGAUGAUGGAGUUGGAGAAGGAGAGGAUGAAGUUCGUUAAAGAGAUGGAGUUGCAGAGGAUGCAGUUUUUGAAAACUCAGAUGGACAUGACUCAGAACGAUCAAGAGGAGGAGAGGAGCAAGCCAAGGAGGAUCAAUGAUGAUGACGAUGAUGUCAAGAAUAAUGGCGAUGGAAUUGAAGAUGGAUCCGGGUCUUGUACCGGAUUCUCCGAUCGGGUCAAGCAGCAACCCGGGGACGCCUUUGACCCCGGGGACACCAUGUGAUAACUUUGGACCAUUUAGCGCCGAGAAAGUACCUUCCGCGGGUGAAGCCGAUGCCGCAAGUCUCAAUACUUAUGAAUGGAUUGUGAUCAACGCAUGCGCAUUGGACCGUUGAAACCGACGAGAAAGUGAGAAAGUGAUACUGGUUCAGUGGUUUGUAUAAUAUAUCAAUAAGCUAAGCAUGUAAUUAUGUAAAUAACAAAAAAAAAAGUUGUACAUAAG
Raphanus sativus (radish) is the source of this 1404-nucleotide RNA transcript. It is a transcript of the gene named trihelix transcription factor ASIL1, with no coding region annotated. The record is from RefSeq and is a predicted model, not a curated record. Lineage: Eukaryota; Viridiplantae; Streptophyta; Magnoliopsida; Brassicales; Brassicaceae. The transcript is spliced from 4 exons.